RNAcentral lists this ribosomal RNA (496 nucleotides) under uncultured bacterium. RNAcentral describes it as "bacterial SSU rRNA". It matches the Rfam family "Bacterial small subunit ribosomal RNA", at positions 28 to 513 of the family's 1533-position model. The record is from RNAcentral.
GAUGAACGCUAGCGAUAGGCCUAACACAUGCAAGUCGAGGGGCAUCACAUGAGGUAGCAAUACUGAUGGUGGCGACCGGCGCACGGGUGAGUAACACGUAUGCAACCUACCUUCCACACGGGGAUAACCCGGAGAAAUCCGGACUAAUACCCGAUAAUACAGGGGUCCCGCAUGGGAAUAUUUGUUAAAGAUUUAUUGGUAGAAGAUGGGCAUGCGUUCCAUUAGUUAGUUGGUGAGGUAACGGCUCACCAAGGCGACGAUGGAUAGGGGAACUGAGAGGUUUAUCCCCCACACUGGAACUGAGACACGGUCCAGACUCCUACGGGAGGCAGCAGUGAGGAAUAUUGGUCAAUGGAGGCAACUCUGAACCAGCCAAGUCGCGUGAAGGAUGAAGGUCUUAUGGAUUGUAAACUUCUUUUAUACAGGAAUAAAUUGAGUCACGUGUGGCUUUUUGCAUGUACUGUAUGAAUAAGGAUCGGCUAACUCCGUGCCAGCA